UGGGGAAUAUUGCACAAUGGGCGCAAGCCUGAUGCAGCCAUGCCGCGUGUAUGAAGAAGGCCUUCGGGUUGUAAAGUACUUUCAGUCGGGAGGAAGGUGGUAAGGUUAAUAACCUUAUCAAUUGACGUUACCGACAGAAGAAGCACCGGCUAACUCCGUGCCAGCAGCCGGGUAAUACGGAGGGUGCAAGCGUUAAUCGGAAUUACUGGGCGUAAAGCGCACGCAGGCGGUUGAUUGAGUCAGAUGUGAAAUCCCCGGGCUUAACCCGGGAAUUGCAUCUGAUACUGGUCAGCUAGAGUCUUGUAGAGGGGGGUAGAAUUCCAUGUGUAGCGGUGAAAUGCGUAGAGAUGUGGAAGAAUACCGGUGGCGAAGGCGGCCCCCUGGACAAAGACUGACGCUCAGGUGCGAAAGCGUGGGGAGCAAACAGG
This 428-nucleotide ribosomal RNA is filed under the name Chloroflexota bacterium. RNAcentral describes it as "Chloroflexi bacterium partial 16S ribosomal RNA". It matches the Rfam family "Bacterial small subunit ribosomal RNA", at positions 355 to 776 of the family's 1533-position model. The record is from RNAcentral. Lineage: Bacteria; Bacillati; Chloroflexota.